GAAUAAUUAGUAGGGUUAAGACCCAGCCUCAUGAUUAAUGUCCUGAUGUGUAGUAUGAGUUUUACUGUUGAAAGAACAGACCCUUGCAAUGAUAGUAGGGGUCGUGAUGGGUUAUUACAUGGGGAGAAUAAGUAGGUAUCUAAUACUCUUAACGGGCGCCAUUUAUUAUGAGUAGGGUAGAAUGGAAUAUCAACCUGAUGGCCAAUUUGACUUGUUUUAGUGAGGGGUAUUCAAAGUAUGAAAUGGCCUUGCUGCUUAUUGAUAUGUGACCAUUUAAGACAAUACUGGAUGUUAGUUGAGGUUUUUGUAGUGAACUCUCGUGGUCUAAGAAAGCCAUAAUACACCAGAUACAUGGUGACUUGAUUAGUUUGAGGUUCGAAGGGGCCAGAGUCCUAUAGGUCUGAUAGGGAUUGGAAUUAUUGAUUGUGGAUAGGUAAUCUUUUUUGUGGUUGGGCAGUGCUGGAUUUUUGAAUGCCUCUCAGGAUGGUUUUAAUUUGGUAGGAUAAUAACUAACUAGGGUUGUUGGGCAUUUAGUAUGUGAUUCUGUAUGCCGGUCAUAUAUAAUUGGAUGGUAUUGGAUCACUUCUUCUGGUUUUCCUGAUGGUGGCAUUAAGCUAGAUGAAGUGUGAGAUAAAGUAUAGUAUACAUAAUAGUCAAAAUAUGAUUUUAAUUUUCUACAGGAUUCUUGCAAUUCCAUUGUUCCAAACAAAAGCAUUUAGUUCAUUCACAAGUUUCUAUCACAGCUAAUCUUUCCUUUGCUUAAUGCUUACUGGUGUUUGCUAAUCAAUCAAAAUCCGUUUGGAAUACUGCCAGAUUGUUGAGAACAGUACAGAUUCAGAAACUGCAUGUCUCCUGCUCCUGGAGUAGACAUAUAUUCUCUAAAAACUCUCCCGUGGAUUAAAUAUAUUGGCAGAUGUUUCACAAAGUGUUCUGUUCUAAAAUGCAGUCCAAAGUACUAAAAGUAGGGAAAUCAUCAUGAAAACCAAUUUUGUACCACUUUUUAGACCAAAAACAUUUGAUAAAUCCCCUCUAAUAUAUCUGCAGCAAUGUUGCCUAGUAAAAUGGUAACCAUUUUCAAAUGGUUUCAAUCUUUACAAUAAGUGCAACUCACUGGUUUAUAUCACGUUUGAAUGUUACGUAGACAACUUUAGCUGCGCCAAUGGGAAAAUUCUUGAGAUUUCUUAGCAAUCUGACACAAAUCUUAAAACAAGUUGCAAAGUCUUGGGGGUACAUUCAGAUCACAUCAUGUACCUAUUUUAAGGUAUGUAGAUAGUCAAGACAUUUCAAAAAAAUUCAGAGAUGCUUCAGUAUAGAGCCAAGUCACAUAUUUUCAAAAAGUAUUUUUUGGUUUUGUCAAUUUGGAUUUAUCUGUAAUUUGACUGUAAUUUGUCUAUAUUGUUGAAAUAUAGACAAAAGCUCAGAGCUGAGAAUCUUACAAGUUGCAGAACUUUUUUGAAAAACUGGAGAAUAGAAAACAUGUUACAAUGAACAAAAAAAAGUAUAAUCGCUAUCAAAUCAAUGUUCAAUCAAGAGCUGUCUAUCAAAGAAGGAAAGAAAAGGAAAAUAAUAAAGGACAAUUAUCAAAGAAAAUAAUCUAGCUUUCAAAGUCCCCAGAACGCAAACAUCCUGAAACUGUCUGAGACUUUUAACCUCUUUGUGAUAUGUUUUUUUUUAUUGUCAUAAUGCACAUAUAAGACCAAAUUACCUUUGUUACAAAGGUAUGGGAUCUUCAAAAAGCUCUGGCCACUAAGGGGUUAAACUUUCUGCACAAUAUUGC
This 1777-nucleotide long non-coding RNA is filed under the name Pelobates cultripes (western spadefoot toad). The record is from RNAcentral. Lineage: Eukaryota; Metazoa; Chordata; Amphibia; Anura; Pelobatidae.